Molecule: ribosomal RNA, 374 nt
Filed under: uncultured organism
Description: partial 16S ribosomal RNA
Rfam family: Bacterial small subunit ribosomal RNA
Source: RNAcentral
GUAGGGUGCAAGCGUUGUCCGGAAUUAUUGGGCGUAAAGCGCGCGCAGGUGGGUUCUUUAAGUCUGAUGUGAAAGCCCCCGGGCUCAACCGGGGAGGGUCAUUGGAAACUGGGGAACUUGAGUGCAGGAGAGGAAAGUGGAAUUCCACGUGUAGCGGUGAAAUGCGUAGAUAUGUGGAGGAACACCAGUGGCGAAGGCGACUUUCUGGCCUGUAACUGACACUGAGGCGCGAAAGCGUGGGGAGCAAACAGGAUUAGAUACCCUGGUAGUCCACGCCGUAAACGAUGAGUGCUAAGUGUUGGGGGGUUUCCGCCCCUCAGUGCUGCAGCUAACGCAUUAAGCACUCCGCCUGGGGAGUACGGUCGCAAAGACUG